This 448-nucleotide ribosomal RNA is filed under the name uncultured bacterium. RNAcentral describes it as "bacterial SSU rRNA". It matches the Rfam family "Bacterial small subunit ribosomal RNA", at positions 330 to 794 of the family's 1533-position model. The record is from RNAcentral.
UCCAGACUCCUACGGGAGGCAGCAGUGGGGAAUAUUGCACAAUGGGGGAAACCCUGAUGCAGCGACGCCGCGUGAGUGAAGAAGUAUUUCGGUAUGUAAAGCUCUAUCAGCAGGGAAGAAAAAAGACGGUACCUGACUAAGAAGCCCCGGCUAACUACGUGCCAGCAGCCGCGGUAAUACGUAGGGGGCAAGCGUUAUCCGGAAUUACUGGGUGUAAAGGGUGCGUAGGUGGCAUGGUAAGUCAGAAGUGAAAGCCCGGGGCUUAACCCCGGGACUGCUUUUGAAACUGUCAUGCUGGAGUGCAGGAGAGGUAAGCGGAAUUCCUAGUGUAGCGGUGAAAUGCGUAGAUAUUAGGAGGAACACCAGUGGCGAAGGCGGCUUACUGGACUGUCACUGACACUGAUGCACGAAAGCGUGGGGAGCAAACAGGAUUAGAUACCCUAGUACC